GAUGAACGCUGGCGGCGUGCCUAAUACAUGCAAGUCGAGCGAACAGACGAGGAGCUUGCUCCUCUGACGUUAGCGGCGGACGGGUGAGUAACACGUGGAUAACCUACCUAUAAGACUGGGAUAACUUCGGGAAACCGGAGCUAAUACCGGAUAAUAUAUUGAACCGCAUGGUUCAAUAGUGAAAGACGGUUUUGCUGUCACUUAUAGAUGGAUCCGCGCCGCAUUAGCUAGUUGGUAAGGUAACGGCUUACCAAGGCAACGAUGCGUAGCCGACCUGAGAGGGUGAUCGGCCACACUGGAACUGAGACACGGUCCAGACUCCUACGGGAGGCAGCAGUAGGGAAUCUUCCGCAAUGGGCGAAAGCCUGACGGAGCAACGGCGCGUGAGUGAUGAAGGUCUUCGGAUCGUAAAACUCUGUUAUUAGGGAAGAACAAAUGUGUAAGUAACUAUGCACGUCUUGACGGUACCUAAUCAGAAAGCCACGGCUAACUUCGUG
Molecule: ribosomal RNA, 497 nt
Filed under: uncultured bacterium
Lineage: Bacteria
Description: partial 16S ribosomal RNA
Rfam family: Bacterial small subunit ribosomal RNA
Source: RNAcentral